UCGUUAUCAAGAAAGGUUGAGGGAAUAGACCCGUUGAAACCUUGGCAACCCUCCUGUAAUGGGAGAAGGUGCUACAUUCUACUUCGCUUCUUUGGCGCAGAUAGAUAACAA
This 111-nucleotide non-coding RNA is filed under the name Salegentibacter mishustinae. Its description in RNAcentral is "SAM-I sequence". It matches the Rfam family "SAM riboswitch aptamer (S box leader)". Rfam says of the family: The SAM riboswitch is found upstream of a number of genes which code for proteins involved in methionine or cysteine biosynthesis in Gram-positive bacteria. Lineage: Bacteria; Pseudomonadati; Bacteroidota; Flavobacteriia; Flavobacteriales; Flavobacteriaceae. The record is from Rfam by way of RNAcentral.